AGUCAGGCUCUGGGUGGAUGUCCCCAGCUGCAGCCCCCAGCUGCAGCCACUGGCAACCUAAAGAACCACAGGCCUCCUGUGAGAGAGCAGAAUGGUGCAGGAGGCCAAGCCACAGAGCGUGGCUGGGGGACUGCAUGAGGCCAGCUCAGAGGGAGAGUAUUGGUGCCCUGGCACCUCCUCCACAUGGAACCAUGAGACAGGAGAAAGGUAUGCCUAAAAAACCCUGAUAAAGCUUGUUUUUAAUUUAAAUUGAAGGAUGAAGAAGAACUGACAUUAAUACGGAUACCUCAUUACUGGUUGAUUUAUUUGGUUCCCAAAUCCUGGCUCUGUGUCAGACUCACCUGUGGAGAUUUAAAAAGGCAUCCAGGGUUUUGAUCCACACUGUUGAGCAAUGGUGGGCUUGGUUAAUCUUUAAAAAGAAUCCUAAUAGAAGAGGACCAACAAUAAUUGCAUUAUGCUUCCGUGUGAAUAACUUCUUCAGAUUUGUUUGACAGAACAGAUUAGAGGAGCUCAAGGGAGCAGACAGAGAAAAAGAUAUAGUGGACAGAUACUGUUCAAGUUUCCCAGCAUCCUUUCCCAUCCUACAUGGACCCAGGAGGGAAAAGAAACUUUCCACCUUUGGCCAAUGAACUGAGAUGAUAUGUGCCUGGAGUUGUUGGUGGCUGCGUCCUUUCUUUCUCUGUCAAAUGGAGAAAACUUGCCUGCGCAUCUAAAGGAAACAAGCUCGGAAAGGCCAUCCCAUCGUAUUUUUAGAAGUACUCACAUGAACUCUAAACAACACCUUGAGAGUCAUGGCAAUGCCCCGGACGUUUUGUAUCUUCGCUGGGUGUGUGAUAUCUUCCUGCCUGCUGGCCCAGUGUCUGUUAAGGAAUUCUGCAGAUCCAGUGCCAGGCCGUGACAGGAGACUUGCUCUAAAACAAUCAUCAGCCAGGUGGAAACAACAUCAAAAAUAAUUCUGUUUGCUAAGAGCGUUGUUCACAGCACCUCACUCCAGAGCUCUUUUCCUCUGCAUCUUGGAGUUGUUUUCACAGAGCCCACUUGCUCACCUUAUACCCGACACCUCACAGGGCAUCAUGUCAGGUUGAGUGGUCUACCUGUAAGCCUUUCUAUGUUAGCAAGAACAUUUUAAAAAAAAACAAAAAAAUCCCUUUAUUGGUCUUUGAUUCUGUGCUCACCAAGUCUUUUAUCCCUCGAAGAAUUUACGUCUUGUAGAUCAAAUGUGAAGUGCAGGACAAAGGAAGACGUGUAUAUCAAGUAAGGAAACAUGCCGGACUCAGGUGCCACAGUGAGACCUUAUACAGCUGUAUAUACUUUUACCAUUUUCACAAAUCACAGGAAAUUUUAUCCUUAUAAAUGGAACUCCCAAGUCUUGUUUUUCUUUCACAACUGGAGGAAACUAGAAAAAGAAGGACUAUUUUUGCUUUGAGAUUGGAUUUAUUUUUGGCUUAUUUGUUGAUUUUGGGGCAUGUUACAAGCCCCUGUGGGGAGAGGAAAGUCCUGGAGUCAGCAGGACCAGGCUUUCCAUCCUGCCUCCGGCACCAACCAGGCGUGCACGGGGCGCCGCUUGACUUUCUGAUGGGCAGUUUCCUCAUCUGAAAAGCAGGGAGGAUAUCUACCUCCCAUGCUUGAUGUCUGCGUCCAGCACAUCCUGGGCAACAAGAAGCUUUAAAUCUGAAUUUAGGUUGCCUUUUUACAUACGUACCUGUAGGAAGAAAACGGACCCUGAGCCACUACACCAGAUUUUGUUUCUGCUGCUUCUUAGUUUUGAACAAGUUAACUCAGAAACAAAACCUUAGACCCAAAAGGAUUUUGAGGGAUUGUCCAGUCCAGCCCCCUUGACCUACAGAUGACAAACUGUGGUCCACAAAAACGAAGGGUUUUGUCUAAGACCAUGCAGCAAACAUUGACCAUAAACCAGGAGUCAUGGGGUGGCUGGGCCCAGGGUUUUCCAGCUUUACAGUCCUGCCUUUGGGAAAGGAACACAGCUUCAAUGGGAAGAUGUGUAUGGAUGUAGAUGUGUUAGGAUAUAAUCAUUUUUUGAGUGUUUACCUAAUUUGAUAUUCUGAGUGUCAGAAAAAGCUGGUUUAGAUCAAAAGAGGAAAACAGCAACUGUGACUAUUUCACCAGGAGAGAAUUACAAAGCAGAGAGCUUAGAGUUCAGAUAGAGCUCGGAAAACGGGGGCUUGGAGAAGAAUCUCAGCCU
This 2203-nucleotide long non-coding RNA is filed under the name Equus caballus (horse). RNAcentral describes it as "lncRNA (ENSECAG00000046262.1)". Lineage: Eukaryota; Metazoa; Chordata; Mammalia; Perissodactyla; Equidae. The record is from RNAcentral.